UUAAUACCGGAUAGAUCAAAGAAACUGGAAUGUUCUCUGGUUUAAAACUCUGGUGCCCAAGGAUGGGUCUGCGGCCUAUCAGGUAGUAGUGGGUGUAACGUACCUACUAGCCUACGACGGGUAAGGGUUGUGAGAGCAAGAGCCCUGAGAUGGAUUCUGAGACAUGAAUCCAGGCCCUACGGGGUGCAGCAGGCGCGAAAACUUUACACUGCGGGAAACCGCGAUAAGGGGACCCCGAGUGCCAGCACCUAGUGCUGGCUGUCCAGCUGUCCAAAUAACAGUUGUUAGCAAGGGCCGGGCAAGACCGGUGCCAGCCGCCGCGGUAACACCGGCGGCCCGAGUGGUAGCCGUUAUUAUUGGGUUUAAAGGGUCCGUAGCUGGCCUAUUAAGUCUCUUGGGAAAUCUGGCGACUCAAUCGUCAGGCGUUCA
This 429-nucleotide ribosomal RNA is filed under the name uncultured archaeon. RNAcentral's name for it is "bacterial SSU rRNA". It matches the Rfam family "Archaeal small subunit ribosomal RNA", at positions 146 to 576 of the family's 1478-position model. The record is from RNAcentral.